This 427-nucleotide RNase P RNA is filed under the name Roseovarius sp. RNAcentral describes it as "RNase P RNA component class A". It matches the Rfam family "Bacterial RNase P class A". Rfam says of the family: Ribonuclease P (RNase P) is a ubiquitous endoribonuclease, found in archaea, bacteria and eukarya as well as chloroplasts and mitochondria. Its best characterised activity is the generation of mature 5'-ends of tRNAs by cleaving the 5'-leader elements of precursor-tRNAs. The record is from RNAcentral. Lineage: Bacteria; Pseudomonadati; Pseudomonadota; Alphaproteobacteria; Rhodobacterales; Roseobacteraceae.
GCGGAGGGCCGGAUGGCCGCGGCAUCCCCUCAAGGGGUGACGAGGAAAGUCCGGACUCCACAAGACAACGGUGCCGGGUAACGCCCGGCCGGGGCAACCCGAGGGAAAGCGCCACAGAGAACAGACCGCCCAGCCGGCUCGGCCCUGCCGACGCGGCUGGGCAAGGGUGAAACGGUGGGGUAAGAGCCCACCGCGGGACGGGCAACCGGACCGGCACGGCAAGCCCCACCGGGAGCAAUGCCGAAUAGGGAUCGCGCGCGGGGACCGGUCCCGGACCAUGGUCCGGGAUACCGCCCGCAGGCCAUGUCUUGGCCUGGCGAUCCGGGUAGGCAGCCAGAGGCGCGCGGGCAACCGCGUGCCGAGACGAAUGGCCAUCCAAGGGGGCCUGCCCCCUGGACAAAAUCCGGCUUACAGGCCCUCCGCGCGC